UUCGAUACUAAGAGGAAUGGCCCGGCGCAAUGGCACAUCAUUCACUUCCCUUAUUUCUGCAUUUUGAUAUUGUACUCUAAUGAUGUGAUUUUUAUACAUUAUGAUGGUUUUGGAACAAUUUUUAUUCCUGUAGUACUUUUUCAAAAUGAAAUAAUUUUAUCGUGUUUUGGGGUCAUUACACGAUCCAAUCAAAAGAAAAAAAUAAUCAUGUGCACACUGAUCGAGCAUUUCCAAUCGAAAAGUAAACUUCAAGCUCUCAAUUUCUAUAUCUAAGAGAGCUUCUUCCAAAUCUCAAUUUCUAUAUCUAAGAGAGCUUCUUCCAAAUCUCAAUUUCUAUAUCUAAUCUCUUGAAUAUUCGCCAUAAUAGAUCUCAAAAAUUUCAUGUCGAUCCUUCGAGAGAACACUUUCUUCUGUCGGAAAUCAUGACCAAACAGCACACCAGGGAUCUUGAUCUCGAUUAACCGACACAUAAGUCACCGAUGAAGAGGAAGACGAAGAGAUCUGAUGUAAACGACGGUGUACCAAUCUCUAAUAGUUAAUGUAGAAGACGAUGGUGGCAGAAAUUAUUAGAUGAGAGGAAGACGAAGCAAUCUGAUGGUAACGGUGGUCGAAUGACGACGGAAGCAGCGGGAGCGAGAUGGUGGCUAAAAAAGUUUGAAGCAUUUUAUGUUUAUGGUUUUAUCUUGAUGAAGAAGAAAAUGAGAGGUUUAUUGGUUUAGAUCUGAUUUGUGGUAUGACGAAUGUAAAUUUGAUCUAUUUUAAGAAAAUUAAUACUGACAAAAA
Molecule: long non-coding RNA, 783 nt
Organism: Lactuca sativa (garden lettuce)
Lineage: Eukaryota; Viridiplantae; Streptophyta; Magnoliopsida; Asterales; Asteraceae
Source: RefSeq, a predicted model, not a curated record